Molecule: ribosomal RNA, 541 nt
Filed under: uncultured archaeon
Lineage: Archaea
Description: bacterial SSU rRNA
Rfam family: Archaeal small subunit ribosomal RNA
Source: RNAcentral
GCCAGCCGCCGCGGUAACACCGGCGGCCCGAGUGGUGAUCGUGAUUAUUGGGUCUAAAGGGUCCGUAGCCGGUUUGGUCAGUCCUCCGGGAAAUCUGAUAGCUCAACUAUUAGGCUUUCGGGGGAUACUGCCAGACUUGGAACCGGGAGAGGUAAGAGGUACUACAGGGGUAGGAGUGAAAUCUUGUAAUCCCUGUGGGACCACCUGUGGCGAAGGCGUCUUACCAGAACGGGUUCGACGGUGAGGGACGAAAGCUGGGGGCACGAACCGGAUUAGAUACCCGGGUAGUCCCAGCCGUAAACGAUGCUCGCUAGGUGUCAGGCAUGGCGCGACCGUGUCUGGUGCCGCAGGGAAGCCGUGAAGCGAGCCACCUGGGAAGUACGGCCGCAAGGCUGAAACUUAAAGGAAUUGGCGGGGGAGCACAACAACGGGUGGAGCCUGCGGUUUAAUUGGACUCAACGCCGGACAACUCACCGGGGGCGACAGCAAUAUGUAGGCCAAGCUGAAGACUUUGCCUGAAUCGCUGAGAGGUGGUGCAUGG